RNAcentral lists this ribosomal RNA (169 nucleotides) under Caranx melampygus (bluefin trevally). Its description in RNAcentral is "partial 12S ribosomal RNA". Lineage: Eukaryota; Metazoa; Chordata; Actinopteri; Carangiformes; Carangidae. The record is from RNAcentral.
CACCGCGGUUAUACGAGAGGCUCAAGUUGACAGACAACGGCGUAAAGCGUGGUUAAGGAAAACAUACAACUAAAGCGGAACCUCCUCCUAGCUGUUAUACGCUUCCGAGGAAGUGAACCCCAACUACGAAAGUGGCUUUAUCUAACCUGAACCCACGAAAGCUAAGAAA